Molecule: non-coding RNA, 95 nt
Organism: Cerioporus squamosus
Lineage: Eukaryota; Fungi; Basidiomycota; Agaricomycetes; Polyporales; Polyporaceae
Source: the annotation of a GenBank genome assembly
GGGCAUGUGGUGUAGUUGGUUAUCACGCUCGCUUAGCAUCUAGCAUGUUGUCGUAGGCUUGCGAGAGGGGUCCGGUUCAAUCCCGGACAUGUCCA